This 433-nucleotide ribosomal RNA is filed under the name uncultured bacterium. RNAcentral's name for it is "partial 16S ribosomal RNA". It matches the Rfam family "Bacterial small subunit ribosomal RNA", at positions 29 to 507 of the family's 1533-position model. The record is from RNAcentral.
AACGAACGCUGGCGGCAUGCCUAACACAUGCCAGUCGAACGAGACCUUCGGGUCUAGUGGCGCACGGGUGCGUAACGCGUGGGAACCUGCCCUUAGGUUCGGAAUAACUCCCCGAAAGGGGUGCUAAUACCGGAUAAUGUCUUCGGACCAAAGAUUUAUCGCCUUUGGAUGGGCCCGCGUUGGAUUAGCUAGUUGGUAGUGUAAAAGCCUACCAAGGCGACGAUCCAUAGCUGGUCGGAGAGGAGGAUCAGCCACACUGGGACUGAGACACGGCCCAGACUCCUACGGGAGGCAGCAGUGGGGAAUAUUGGACAAUGGGCGAAAGCCUGAUCCAGCAAUGCCGCGUGAGUGAUGAAGGCCUUAGGGUUGUAAAGCUCUUUUACCCGGGAUGAUAAUGACAGUACCGGGAGAAUAAGCUCCGGCUAACUCCGUG